GAUGAACGCUGGCGGCGUGCCUAAUACAUGCAAGUCGAGCGAACGGACGAGAAGCUUGCUUCUCUGAUGUUAGCGGCGGACGGGUGAGUAACACGUGGAUAACCUACCUAUAAGACUGGGAUAACUUCGGGAAACCGGAGCUAAUACCGGAUAAUAUUUUGAACCGCAUGGUUCAAAAGUGAAAGACGGUCUUGCUGUCACUUAUAGAUGGAUCAGCGCUGCAUUAGCUAGUUGGUAAGGUAACGGCUUACCAAGGCAACGAUGCAUAGCCGACCUGAGAGGGUGAUCGGCCACACUGUAACUGAGACACGGUCCAGACUCCUACGGGAGGCAGCAGUAGGGAAUCUUCCGCAAUGGGCGAAAGCCUGACGGAGCAACGCCGCGUGAGUGAUGAAGGUCUUCGGAUCGUAAAACUCUGUUAUUAGGGAAGAACAUAUGCGUAAGUAACUGUGCACAUCUUGACGGUACCUAAUCAGAAAGCCACGGCUAACUACGUG
Molecule: ribosomal RNA, 497 nt
Filed under: uncultured bacterium
Lineage: Bacteria
Description: partial 16S ribosomal RNA
Rfam family: Bacterial small subunit ribosomal RNA
Source: RNAcentral